GGCUCUUUGAAAAAAAUUGAUAAGGAGUCGGGCCUGCCCAGUGACGUGGAGUUUAACGGCCGCGGUACUUUGACCGUGCAAAGGUAGCAUAAUCAAUUGCCUUAUAAUUGAAGGCUAGUAUGAAUGGUUUAACAAGAAUUUAACUGUCUCCUGUUAAUUAAAAUGAAUUUGACUUUUAAGUGCAAAGGCUUAAAUAAUAUUGAAAGACAAGAAGACCCUAUUGAGCUUAAAAAUUUUUAGUAGAAUAGGUAAUAUAAAUAUUUAAAUUUCAAUCUAUUAAAUUUUUUUAGUUGGGGCGACUCUGGAACAAUUAAAACUUCCUGAACAACAUAAUAUUUUUAUAAUUUUUUUUUAGGAUCCAGAAUUAUUCUGAUUAAUAGAACAAGUUACCAUAGGGAUAACAGCAUAAUCUUCUUUGAGAGUUCUAAUCGAAAAGAGGGUUUGUGACCUCGAUGUUGGACUAGAAUAUCCUAAAGAUGCAGAAGUUUUUAAAGGUUGGUCUGUUCGACCAUUAAAAUUCU
Molecule: ribosomal RNA, 521 nt
Filed under: Lanistes congicus
Lineage: Eukaryota; Metazoa; Mollusca; Gastropoda; Architaenioglossa; Ampullariidae
Description: partial large subunit ribosomal RNA
Rfam family: Bacterial large subunit ribosomal RNA
Source: RNAcentral